UGGUAAACCAGGGCUAUCCUUCAUCCUAGGUACCAAAGACUUUAAAUGCAUGCUUAUUUUUUUAAAAAAGCCGUCGGCGCUUUGAUUUGUUUGAAUUGGGGGUGUGGUGGGGAGAGGCGACGAGCUACCGACAGCUGAGCCCCCUUGAAACAUAGGAGGGCAUCCAAAGCGCGUGUACAGGGAGGAGGGCAGACCGUGUGCUGACUUAAGCGAGGCCAAGGCGGCGGUGGGUCAUGCGGCUCAACCGGGGCGGGGCACUGGGAAAAGUGGUGCAUUUCGAAGGUUCCAUGGCGUUGUUGCGGCGUUCUAGGCCCCAGCGCAAACGUGCCUCUGGCGACGGUUUGAGCGUUCCGUCGCCCAACGCCUCGCCGCCCAAUGGCUGGGCGUGUGUGUGUGUCGCCCAUUCGGAGCUUCCUCCCUUUCCCAGCAUUCCACUGCAGUAAAGGCAACGUGGUUUUCUUUGGGUGCGAGCAUGUGAUUUUCCUGAACUAGCUACGGAGCCUUGCUUUUCGACUCUUUCCGGCUGUGUGCGUAGCCGGUCUGCUUUUCGCUUGGGCUCCGGAGAACGCUUCUAACAUUCAACUCCAGCUAAAGUGGUAAAAGCAGCAAACCUACGGCAGCGGAAAGGAAGCAAGGUUGGUGACUU
Non-coding RNA from Python bivittatus (Burmese python), 646 nucleotides. The record is from RefSeq and is a predicted model, not a curated record. NCBI's taxonomy places the organism in Eukaryota, Metazoa, Chordata, Lepidosauria, Squamata, Pythonidae.